Non-coding RNA from Pelobates cultripes (western spadefoot toad), 1230 nucleotides. Lineage: Eukaryota; Metazoa; Chordata; Amphibia; Anura; Pelobatidae. The record is from the annotation of a GenBank genome assembly.
GUUCUUUUGUAUUUAUUACACAUUAAAAGUUCAAUUAUUUUUUUAAUUGACAUGACAAAUGUGACUAUUUGCUGUUCAGUCAUAAAUUACCUUUUAUAUUCAUUUAACAAUGGAAAACGCAUGAUAAAAGAGCCGUCUCAGCAUUAUAAUGUGAUAGUGUAGUAGUUAUGGUGUCAUCAGGAUGCAGGUACUGCUAUCAAAUUUUCAAGCGUUUCGACCAGUGGCACCUGGUAAAAUUUAAAGAUGAUAGGGUGCCGACUCUGUCUUGAUGGGUUUAGCCCACUUAAAAUCCUUUACUCAACCCUUGAUCCAAUGAGACAUCCAACACCAUAAACCUAUAGAUACACAUAUUUGGAAACAACAACCUCUUUAGAGGGACACUAAAGGCGCCCAGACCACUUCAUCUCAAUCUAAUGGUCUGGGUUCAGUGCCCCUGUCAUUUUUAGCCCUGCAAUGAAAACCAUUGCUGUUUUGAAGAAAUGGCAAUGUUUUUGUUGCAGUGGUAAAACACCUCUACCUGUCAGCCGCUAAGUAAUUGUGCUUCUACCGCAAUGACUGAGUUUGACUUGUUCAUGUGACAUUUGAUGAGUAAAUUGAACGUCAUCGAAUGCUGCUCAUAGAUAAUCAUUGGAUGCGUGCACAUGUGCUUCCCACCCCAAGUACUUCUCUGUGAGAAGCAUUAGUAUCGAUGGAAAGGCAAUGAAGCAACGUCUGUUGGAUGACGUUGCAGGAAGAGGAGCAUGGGAUAGCAAUGAGUCUCGGCGCUGGAAAAAAAAAAGGUAAGUAAAAUGCUUUUUCCCCCUAUUUUUUUAUUGCCAUUGGAGACCCUGAGGCUAAAUAGGGACUAAAACAGGUUUUUAUUCUUAACGCUCUAUUGUUCCUUUAAAGAGGUCUGAUUCCACCUCCGAGGCUGUUACCAAUGACAGCCAUAAAAUACAUAACAAAAUGUAGACUUGUCCUGUAGUGCCCAGUAUAUGAUAAUCCCAUGUUUAGCCUAUGUGUAGAGUUUUAUACCCAGAAAAUGGGAGUUUAAAAAUAAAAUAAAAAAAUCUCUCAACACCAUAACAUGAACAAAGUAUCAGCUGACUGGAGCAGUGGUAAUGUCACUGUCUUAGAACAGGGAAACCCAGAUUUGAACCCCUGUCAGAUCUUACCAGUAAGAGUUUCUGGACAAGACAUUUAGUGAUCUAUAUCAAUCUACAUCAAAUGCUCAUAGACUGUAAUGAGCAG